AGCAGUCGCCGCGGGAAUACAGAGGGUGCAAGCGUUAAUCGGAAUUACUGGGCGUAAAGCGCGCGUAGGUGGUUUGUUAAGUUGGAUGUGAAAGCCCCGGGCUCAACCUGGGAACUGCAUCCAAAACUGGCAAGCUAGAGUACGGUAGAGGGUGGUGGAAUUUCCUGUGUAGCGGUGAAAUGCGUAGAUAUAGGAAGGAACACCAGUGGCGAAGGCGACCACCUGGACUGAUACUGACACUGAGGUGCGAAAGCGUGGGGAGCAAACAGGAUUAGAUACCCGAGUAGUCCCUGUCUCUUAUAC
RNAcentral lists this ribosomal RNA (303 nucleotides) under uncultured bacterium. RNAcentral describes it as "partial 16S ribosomal RNA". It matches the Rfam family "Bacterial small subunit ribosomal RNA", at positions 507 to 807 of the family's 1533-position model. The record is from RNAcentral.